This 482-nucleotide ribosomal RNA is filed under the name uncultured bacterium. RNAcentral's name for it is "partial 16S ribosomal RNA". It matches the Rfam family "Bacterial small subunit ribosomal RNA", at positions 28 to 507 of the family's 1533-position model. The record is from RNAcentral.
GACGAACGCUGGCGGCGUGCUUAACACAUGCAAGUCGAACGAUGAAGAAGAGAAACGCGAACUUCGGUUCAAAUUUCACUUCGGAUUAGUGGCAGACGGGUGAGUAACGCGUGAGCAACCUACCUCUUACAAAGGGAUAGCCUCGGGAAACCGUGAUUAAUACCAUAUGACACAUUCAUAAGGCAUCUUAAGAAUGUUAAAGCUACGGCGGUAAGAGAUGGGCUCGCGUCCCAUUAGCUAGUUGGUGAGGUAACGGCCCACCAAGGCGACGAUGGGUAACCGGGCUGGGAAGGUGAACGGUACCAUUGGAACUGAGACACGGACCAAACUCCUACGGGAGGAAGCAGUGGGGAAUAUUGCACAAUGGAGGGAACUCUGAUGCAGCGACGCCGCGUAAGCGAUGAAGAAAUUCGUUUCGUAAAGCUCUGUUCUAUGGGAAGACAAGGACUGUACCAUAGGAGAAAGCCCCGGCUAAAUACGUG